RNAcentral lists this unclassified non-coding RNA (240 nucleotides) under soil metagenome. RNAcentral describes it as "partial contains 5.8S ribosomal RNA, internal transcribed spacer 2, and large subunit ribosomal RNA". The record is from RNAcentral.
AACGCACGAGACCUGCGGACCUGCGGAAGGAUCAUCACUGAUUCUCAGGGGAUGGGUGAUGCGUGGGUGGUGGUGGUGUACUCCGCCGCCGCCGCCCGCCCUACAUCCCGCCCCAACCAAUCUUGUGUGCACCGUUUCUCACCGAUCAUGGAGAGCAAUAAUGCGCGUGUGAUAUGUGUGUGUUGGCAGGGGAGCCUCCGUACUCUCUUGCCAACCGCAUGCACGCACGUGCUUUCUCUC